CGUGUAGGCGGCUCUGCAAGUCAGAUGUGAAAUUCCCGGGCUUAACCCGGGCGCUGCACCUGAAACUGCAGAACUUGAGUACUGGAGAGGAUAGUGGAAUUCCUAGUGUAGCGGUAAAAUGCGUAGAUAUUAGGAGGAACACCAGUGGCGAAGGCGGCUAUCUGGACAGUAACUGACGCUGAGGCGCGAAAGCGUGGGGAGCAAACA
This 207-nucleotide ribosomal RNA is filed under the name uncultured Saccharofermentans sp. Its description in RNAcentral is "partial 16S ribosomal RNA". It matches the Rfam family "Bacterial small subunit ribosomal RNA", at positions 568 to 774 of the family's 1533-position model. Lineage: Bacteria; Bacillati; Bacillota; Clostridia; Eubacteriales; Oscillospiraceae. The record is from RNAcentral.